Molecule: long non-coding RNA, 7053 nt
Filed under: Ananas comosus (pineapple)
Lineage: Eukaryota; Viridiplantae; Streptophyta; Magnoliopsida; Poales; Bromeliaceae
Description: long non-coding RNA (ACOM_LNC019236)
Source: RNAcentral
GAUGAUCGGGGAGGCGAUCACCGCAUUGAAGGAGAGGACGGGGUCGAGCCAGUACGCGAUCACGAAGUACAUAGAGGAGAAGCACAAGGAUCAUGUACCCCCCAACUUCAAGAAGCUCCUCCUCUUCCACCUCAAGAAGCUCACCGCGAGCGGUAAGCUCACCAAGGUCAAGAACUCCUACAAGCUCCCCCCGCUCCGCCCCCGCGCUCCCGAAGCGAAGCCGAAGCCGAAGCCAAAGCCAAAGCCAAAGGCAGCCGCGGCCAAGCCGAAGCCGAAGCCGAAGCCAAAAGCGGCUGCUGCCAAGCCUAAGCCCAAGCCCAAGCCAAAAGCAGCUGUGGCUAAACCGAGCACGAAGCCGAAGCCAAAAGCAGCUGCGCCGAAGCCGAAGCCGAAGCCGAAGCCUAAAGCGCUGAAGCCAAAAGCAACUGCGGCGAAGCCGAAGCUGAGGACGAAGGCGUCGCCGGGGAAGAAGAGGGUGGCGCCGAAGAGGGCGCCGGCGCCGGCGCCGGCGAAGAAGGCGAAGGUGGCGAGGAAGGGGAAAUAGGUGUAGUUUUCUCUUCUUCUUUUUUUUUUUUUUUUUUUAAAUUUCUCUUCCGGUUGGUUUAGUUAGAGUGGCAGUGUUUGUAAAUUUAGUAGUCGUGAGAUGGUGCAUGCAUCUUCGAGUUGUUUGAGUGGGAAAAGAAAAGUUUAUAAGAAUUUAGUCUCCUACUUUUUCAUUGUAUGUUUCUUCUAUUGAAAGUGGAGGGGAUGGUAACUGAUCAUUACUUAUUUUUCUCGGUUUAGAUUCAGGGCUGUUAAUUCAGCUUUCGCUGUUUAUGAGUUAGCUUGUAAGAUUUAAGAUAAACUUGAGGUGGCUUGCUCGGCUAAUAANAUAUAUAUUAAUUUUAAUCAAUUUAAAUGUAAAAAAAAUUAUAUUUUAUGAAUUUUAAUUUCUAGAUUAGAAUUUUAAUUUUUUAAUUUUUCUUUUAACUUUUCACCUAGUAGGAGGGUUGCUGCUUGUGAGCUUGCUUGUGAGCUAGUUUGUGUCGGCUUAUUUAUUAAACGAGUCUAGUUUGUGUCGGCUUAUUUAUUAAACGAGUCGAAUGAGAAUUGGCUCUAUUUUGCUUGUGUUUGUUGACAAUUCUAAUUAAAUUAUUGUAAAUUGCCUCGGCGAAUUUGCAUAAGAAAAUCAAUUAAUUUUGUAUUUUUGCAAAAAAAAAAAUAUUAAUUUUUUCGUUUUUGUCGAUUCAAUCUGAAUUAUUAAUAAAUUGAUUAAAUUAUUAUUAUUAUUUUUUUAAUUUUCAUGUUUCUCUUCCUUCCACUCUUUUCUGUUUUUUUUUUCUUUAUUAUUUUUUUUUCCUGUUUCUUCUCUCUCUUCGCCUCUUCAAUAUAUAGGGGAGGAGGGAUAAGAAGUGGGAAAAAAAAGAAAGAGAAUAGAGAUAUUUUCAUUACUUUCAUAAAAAUUUAGUGAGAAUUUAUAAAGUUUGAAAAUAUAGGCUGAUUUUGCAUUGCAAAUAUGCAAAAUUGAUAAGUUUUUUAUACAAAAAAGGCCACUUAAAUUUGCCAGUAGCUAAAAUCUUUUUAAUUAAUUUUUUUUUAUGGUGCUAAAGUUAAUUAAAAUAAUAACAACUGAAAUUUACUGUUAUAUUUUCUUUAUUCAUUUAUGUGUUAGUCUAACAAAUUUAAUAAAAUAAAAAAAAAGUAGAAUAAUCAUAUGUACUGUAUUUGACUAAAAGCAUAACAUUUGGUACCGAUGUUUUCAGUUUGAAGUCCAGAUGCUUUGUAUUUUUAGUUGAAUUUAUUUCUAAAAUAGUGAAGUGGCAAAUUUUGCUUUUUUCUCUCAAACAAAAUGACAAAAAUAGUAAAUUUGUUUACUUAAAUUUUAGUUUUAAAAAAAUAUUCUUGAACUUUGUAAGCAAUGAGAAAAACAAUUUCUGAUUUUUGAAAAUCCAAAAUAAGCAGAUUUGUUUUGAAAUAUAUUGUGAAUCUAACCUGUUUUGGAAAAUUUCACUUCAUUUAUGCGGAAUUUUUUUAAUGUAAAUUGUUCACAAUUAUUAUAAAAAUUAAGUUUGUUUAGGGAUAUUUCAAUUUUACAUCAUCACUCCCCUUUACAUUCCCAUAAAAAGGGCAGAGCAGAGAAAAUAUCUUUAAUUGUAACAGUCGUACUAUACAAACCAACCAAACUGUGCCGUAUAAUCAUAACUAAUAUACACCUGUGCUUUGCAGUGGGUCGAUAGUAUUUCAAAUAAUUAAUAUAUAUAAUUAUUUAAAUUUUAAAAUUAAAAAAUAUAAAAAAUUUAUAUAGUCUUUUAUAUAUUACUAGUUGAUUGUACAUACAAAUACACAUAACAAUUAUUUUAAUUUAUUUUAAAACCACUAUUAAAUAUUUUCAAUAUGCGUUAUAUAUUUUUAUACAGAUCCGAUGUAUCUAAAAUCUUUAUUAGAUAUGUAGAAAGUAUUUAUUCAACCUUGCCUCAAGUGGAGACGUGGCUCAUUGAGAAGUUGCUUUUAUGAUGUGAUGAACUGUCAAAUUAUAUAAUCUUAUCUUAUAGAUUAUAGAUUACCAGUUUACACACUACCUUUUUUAGAUAUUUGGUAUUAAAUCAGAUAUUAAAAUAGCCUUUUGUUAAUAAGCAAAUAUGAGAUUUAGUCUAAGCUAUUUUUCAUAUUGGAAGAUUCUUGCUUUAAGGAGCAUGAACAAAUAUAUAGAUAUAUAUAUAUAUAUAUAUGCAAUAAUUCCACCAGUUUUUGAUAUAUAUUGUUUUAUUGUAAUAUAAAAUUCUUCUUAUAUUUUAAAAAAUUAGAACUUUCACAGAAAUAAUAUAUAAAAAUUUAACUUUAUAAAAACAUAUUUAUAAUUUACUAUAUUUGUAGAAAUCUAUAUGCAUUUAACUCUUUCCUUUAAUUUAUGUCUUUUAUUUAUGGUGCAACUGGUCAUUAAUUUUAGCUACACUACUUUGUUGUAUUCUUUGCCCUUAAUUGCACUUUUCCCUGCCUCUCUGGCUCGCUGCAAUUUUGGUUUUCACCACAGUAUCCGCCUGUCAGCCACUUUUCCUGUUUCAAAAUCUUAUCAAACAUUGCAGUCUGCUUUCACACCCAUCGAAUUCUUGAUCUUGAGCCAGCCUGCUUUUCGUCGCAGCAAAUUCUCCAUCUUGGGGUCUUGACAGUUACUCAGCCGCGGCAGACGUUAAAAUUCUUGGUGAAAUUGCGGGGGCUGCAAGCCAAAUUUCGGCCGUCGAAUCGUAGACGACAUGUUAAAGUACGAUUCAACACCGAGGCUCUCGAUGAUCGAAGAUACAAAAGCUCAAGUGACAGUUGAUCAGCGUGUUCGUGACAUUGUUUUACGUGUUAGUCUCGUUAGCUAGAUCGUCCUAUCAUUUCGAUUCAUUUUUGAAAAGCUUUUAUUGAUUCAAUUCCUAAAGGCUAAGGAUUAAUGUCUCGUUUGUCCCUUUCCGAUCAUCUCACUUUGCUCAUUCCACUUUCAUAGAUUCGCUUGGUUCGUCGAAACCGUUUGAGAGUCAAAGAAGAUCGAUUGCUCUUCGACAUUUUGAACUCAUUGGGGUACUGUAAAGGAGAGCGAUCGAUUUGUCGGGGACUCUUUCCUUUGAUCAUCCCCUUCCUCGACUUUUCGGAGCAUGCUUUGAUGCCAAAUAUCCUAUUUUGAAGCUUUGUUUCGUCAUUUGUCAAAUGUUCAUAUCGAUUUUGAUGGUUAUGCACUAUUUUCGGGUCUUUUGCGUCGCAGCCCGAUAUCGGCUAGUAACUUGAAUAUGAAGUAUAGCAUAUUAGAGAUGAUGGUGCUUCUGCUAUCUACAAGUGCAUUGAUGCGACUACGUAGUCACAUAUCUAUGUUAGCAAUCGUCACCGAUAGUCGAAUACUACGACUUACAUUCGAGCUAAAGAUGUGGUAGAGUCGUCUCCCCCUCGAUGUUUCGUGAUAUGUUUUAACAAUUUUUGCACACCUUGAUGUCCUUCAAAUGCUUGUAUACUCAACACUUAGAAAUGAAUAUAUUUAGAAUCUGUCUCUCUCUCUCUCUCUUUUGUUUUUUUGUUUUUUUAAAAAAACUUUUGAUGUAGAAUUCAGUGAAAAUGCAAAUCUAAUCCCUUCGACGGAAACGUGUAGCGCCUUUUUUGAUCUCGCGCUUGGUCGAUCCGGGAUCGACGGGGUUGAUCAAUGCGGGCUCUCUAAAUGUCGUUGAAGGUCCUCUAGUGACCAAACUCGUAGUAGACCGAGUUAAGAACGAGCUAGGUCUUGGUUCUACCUUUCAAGUCCCUCCAGAAUCCAACAGUAAGAACGGAAAUGAACCGCUUUUGGAUCGAGCCUGCCCAUGAGUGCAUCUAAUUCGGUCUAACCAAAUCCCAACAUUCGAAAAGAGAAAUCUCUCUUUUAUAUGUUCGGUAUCUCGAUCGCAUCAGCUUAAUUUGUUUAAGGUUUCCCAAUGAUUGCUUUUCUAAUUUUGAGUGCAACUACAGAACGUUUGCGUAACUCUCACCAACCGACCAAUUAUACCGCACAGCUUGAGUAAAUAAAAGAGAUAUGUUAAACACAAAAUUCGUCGACCCAAACAAACCCGUCGCGUACUAAAACUAUCUUAAAAUUAGCAUCAACAGUUGACUAGUAGCUAAUGCUUCUUGCAACAAGAACAAAAGAAUAAUCUAGCGAAGAAAGGUUAUAGAAUUCUUUCCUCUACUGAUCCUAAUUCAGUUUUAUGCUUCACUGGAAUUAUGUUACCAAAGGAAAAAAAAUCAAAAUCGACGAAAACGUAACAUUUAGUUGCACUUGAUUUAGUUUUGCUAAAGAUCAAUCAAUAGGGUUCCAAUGAAGGAAAAAAUAGAGAGAAGGGGAGCCAGAGGACCCUAUUAAAGUGGCGGUAAUACGAUAGCAAUAUGAUGCACAAGCCAAAAAAGAAGUUCCAUUUUGUUCAUCGUUGUUUGAUGCGACGAUCCGAUACAAUGAUUUGAUUUUUAUAGAUCAACGAGCUUACAAAGAAAUAGGGAUAACCCUCGACUUAAUUCACGGAACUUUGAAUGACUUGAAUGGCAAAGAGUCUAGCUUAUAAAACCAAAUUGUGUAAAGUUUCAAAUAGUUAAUGCCAAAGAAGCGAUAUCUACUGCAACAUAAGAGAUGAAAUAGAUGCUCAAACAUAAAUAUUAGUCGAGUUCAAGUAACUCCUUAGCAAAGUCCAAUGCAUCAAGCGAACUAAUCUCAUCGCAAAACAUCAUCUGCAAUUGUAUUCACACUUUUACUAAUUCCAUAUAAGAAUUGUAAGGAGCUAGUGAAGUUGUUAGAUCACAAGGAACUCUACAUCAUGUUGAUGAAAUUGUUCCUAUUGUCGAAACGCGUACUUUUGACGAAAGAGAGCAUACAAAAUCAAAUUCCGAGAGGUCGAAAUGCAUCAAGCAUUGUUUCCUCUUCACACAUGAAGAUGUCUAUGAACAAACAAGUACUUAUCGGAAAAACAAAUGCGAAAUAGUUUGAGCAGUAGCAUUCUAAGAUGCUUUCAUACCACAAACCAUCUAAAUCGACAGCGUAAGUUUUGAAUCGCGCUUCAAAUUUUAAAUUAGGUGCUUUGUUUGAAAUUUAUGCUAUGAUGAUUUGAAGCAUACCAAACAAAUCAUGAUUAGUAAAAACAUUUGUGUCACUUCGACGCCGUUCAAACAGCGUUUAAUCUCUCGUUUCUGAUCGGAUUUCGAUGAUUCAAAGUGUGACUAUUAGCUAUGCUCUUCCUCUAUCAUUUGAGAUCAACAAAACACACCAAAGUGAUCAAAGGAUCCUUCUAAUAGGCUAAAAACCUCAUCAAACUCACACAGAAACCUUGUGCAUGACCAGUGUCGCUUCAAAUUUAAAUUUCUCUCAAAAUGUGGGACCAUUUUAAACAAAUUUGCACUCAUUUGAAAGCUAAGGUCCAGAGCUUCAACUUGAUUUAAAUUUCAUUUGAAUCCAUGGGCCACAGCUAAAGUUAUUGAGAUUUAAAUUGGAGGGAAAAGCACACUGAAACUUUGGCCAAUCCCUUUGUAGUCCUACCUAUGCUCUAUCCUGGCUCCAUCCAUUUACCCACUCCCUACCGUUGAUGCGAGUUUAGAUCGAACGGCCCAUAUUUGAAAAUAAGGAGGGAGUAAUCCGAGUGCGGGCAUGUUGACCAAUAACACAGCCCCACGUGUCGUCCGCUCUCUCACAUCGCCCACUAUUUAAAUCCAUUUCGUUCUCUUCCUCGCCCAUCAUCGUCAACCUACGCUCUCUCUCUCUCUCUCUCUCUCUUUCUUACUCUCUCUCAUAACCGAUCGCGUUCGUCUACGGGAGACUCUAACCCUAACCCUAGCUCGAUUCUAUACGCUCCCCGAUCCAUGGCGACGGAGGAGGAAGCGGCGGAGGGCGGCGCCGCCCCGGUGGAGGGGGCGGCGGAGGAGGAGCCCGCCGCCGAGAACGACGCCGCCGCGGCGGAGGGAGCCGCGGUGGGGAACGCGAAGAAGCAGCGCGCCCCGAAGGAGCCCAAGGAGAAGAAGCCGCGGAAGCCCCGGUCCCCUCCCUCCCAUCCCCCGUACAUCGAGGUGAGCAUCGCAUUGAAUGGAAUCUUAGCUUCGUUUCCUCUGUUGUGUGGUUUUGGGAUGUGAAAUCGGGAUCCGAGUAAAACCCUAACGUUUGACCCUAACCCUAACCCUAACCCUAAACGCAGAUGAUCGGGGAGGCGAUCACCGCAUUGAAGGAGAGGACGGGGUCGAGCCAGUACGCGAUCACGAAGUACAUAGAGGAGAAGCACAAGGAUCAUGUACCCCCCAACUUCAAGAAGCUCCUCCUCUUCCACCUCAAGAAGCUCACCGCGAGCGAUAAGCUCACCAAGGUCAAGAACUCCUACAAGCUCCCCCCGCUCCGCGCCCGCGCCCCCGCCUCGGCCUCCGCCCCCGCGCCCGAGCCCAAGCCCAAGCCCAAGCCCAAGUCGAAGCCCAAGCCCAAGCCAAAAGCUGCCUCGGCGAAGCCCAAGCCCAAGCCGAAAGCCGCGGCGGUGAAGCCGAAGCCCAAGCCCAAGCCGAAACCGAAAGCAGCUGCGGCUAAGCCCAAGCCCAAGCCGAAAGCGGCGG